This 74-nucleotide transfer RNA is filed under the name Actinomycetota bacterium. Its description in RNAcentral is "Actinobacteria bacterium tRNA-Val". It matches the Rfam family "tRNA". Rfam says of the family: Transfer RNA (tRNA) molecules are approximately 80 nucleotides in length. Their secondary structure includes four short double-helical elements and three loops (D, anti-codon, and T loops). Further hydrogen bonds mediate the characteristic L-shaped molecular structure. tRNAs have two regions of fundamental functional importance: the anti-codon, which is responsible for specific mRNA codon recognition, and the 3' end, to which the tRNAs corresponding amino acid is attached (by aminoacyl-tRNA synthetases). tRNAs cope with the degeneracy of the genetic code in two manners: having more than one tRNA (with a specific anti-codon) for a particular amino acid; and 'wobble' base-pairing, i.e. permitting non-standard base-pairing at the 3rd anti-codon position. The record is from RNAcentral. Lineage: Bacteria; Bacillati; Actinomycetota.
ACCGCUGUAGCUCAGAGGAUAGAGCAGCGCACCGACGAUGUUGCAGGUCGCGGGUUCGAUCCCCGCCAGCGGUU